RNAcentral lists this ribosomal RNA (586 nucleotides) under uncultured bacterium. RNAcentral describes it as "bacterial SSU rRNA". It matches the Rfam family "Bacterial small subunit ribosomal RNA", at positions 121 to 723 of the family's 1533-position model. The record is from RNAcentral.
GAAACCUGCCCUGGAGACCGGGAUAGCCCGGGGAAACCCGGAUUAAUACCGGAUACCCUCAUUGGAUCGCAUGUUCUGAUGAGGAAAUGGUCAGCCGCUCCAGGAUGGUCUCGCGGCCUAUCAGCUUGUUGGUGAGGUAAAGGCUCACCAAGGCUCCGACGGGUAGCUGGUCUGAGAGGACGAUCAGCCACACUGGGACCGAGACACGGCCCAGACUCCUACGGGAGGCAGCAGCAGGGAAUAUUGCACAAUGGGCGAAAGCCUGAUGCAGCGACGCCGCGUGCGGGAUGAAGGCCUUCGGGUUGUAAACCGCUUUCAGGAGGGACGAAAAUGACGGUACCUCCAGAAGAAGGCCCGGCCAACUACGUGCCAGCAGCCGCGGUAAUACGUAGGGGCCAAGCGUUGUCCGGAUUUAUUGGGCGUAAAGGGCUCGUAGGCGGUUUGACAAGUCGGUCGUGAAAACCCGGGGCUCAACCCCGGGACGCCGGUCGAAACUGUCAUGACUAGGGUCCGGUAAAGGUGAGUGGAAUUCUCGGUGUAGCGGUGAAAUGCGCAGAUAUCGAGAGGAACACCAGUAGCGAAGGCG